This 520-nucleotide ribosomal RNA is filed under the name uncultured bacterium. RNAcentral's name for it is "bacterial SSU rRNA". It matches the Rfam family "Bacterial small subunit ribosomal RNA", at positions 791 to 1314 of the family's 1533-position model. The record is from RNAcentral.
UAGUCCACGCCGUAAACGAUGAUUACUGGUUGUGCGCGAUACAUAGUGCGUGACUGAGGGAAACCAUUAAGUAAUCCACCUGGGGAGUACGUUGGCAACAAUGAAACUCAAAGGAAUUGACGGGGGCCCGCACAAGCGGAGGAACAUGUGGUUUAAUUCGAUGAUACGCGAGGAACCUUACCUGGGCUUAAAUGUACAGUGCAUGACUUGGAAACAGGUCUUUUCUUCGGAACUCUAUACAAGGUGCUGCAUGGUUGUCGUCAGCUCGUGCCGUGAGGUGUCGGGUUAAGUCCCAUAACGAGCGCAACCCCUAUCGUUAGUUGCUAGCAGGUAAUGCUGAGGACUCUAGCGAGACUGCCGGUGACAAACCGGAGGAAGGUGGGGACGACGUCAAGUCAUCAUGGCCCUUACGACUUGGGCUACACACGUGCUACAAUGGUCGGUACAGAGGGCAGCAAAGCGGCGACGUGGAGCCAAUCCCUUAAAACCGGUCGUAGUCCGGAUUGGAGUCUGCAACUCG